Cucurbita maxima (winter squash) is the source of this 2290-nucleotide RNA transcript. It is a transcript of the gene named probable myosin-binding protein 6, with no coding region annotated. The transcript is spliced from 3 exons. The record is from RefSeq and is a predicted model, not a curated record. NCBI's taxonomy places the organism in Eukaryota, Viridiplantae, Streptophyta, Magnoliopsida, Cucurbitales, Cucurbitaceae.
UCAAUCAUAUCCCUUGAACCCUCAAACGGCGUCCUGCUUUCUCAGCGGCGACACUGUGGCAACCAUAUGACUGCCGCAUGUGUCUCUUUUCCUGUUUUUCAUUUAUUUUUGUUUCCUAAUUUUCUUUUCUUUUACCUUUUCUAUAGCUUCCAUUCAAUUCAAUCAUGGCGAUGAUCCAGAAAACGCCAUAGCUUUCUUCCUCGUCUUGUUUUUUUUCCCUCAUCCUUCUCCUCUGCCCCUUCAAAUCGACGUCUUAUUCAAAUUUCUUCAAUUUCCCCUUUUCCACGCCUAACCCAUCGCGAAUUUCCCUCGUUUCUUACCUGGGUUUUCCCUGUUCUGCAAAAUUCUGUAGUUACCAGUCUUGCUCCUCUGUUUUAUUCAGGUUUCUUGCUCCUCUGUUUCUGUAUUUUCUGUUUUAUUUUUUCUCCAAGUAUUUGGAAAGAUUGCUGUUCUGUUUCAAUUAUUGUGGACGGUGUUUGUUUCCCGAUUCUCAUAGUUUGUUACUGUUCUUGAUUUCUUACUUGCCAAGUUAGAGGAAGAGCUUAGGAUAUCCGAUUUUCUGGUGAUUGAAAUCCAUGACGUUCCACGAGAUUCAUUCAUGGACCUUCUGUGGACUAGUCAGAGCUUUUCUUAACCUAGCUGUUGUUUAUUUUCUUUUGUGCGUGUCAGCGACUGUGUUUAUCCCAUCUAAGAUUUUGAAAGUUGUCGGGUUCUGCUUGCCUUGUCCUUGUACUGGAUUUUAUGGGAACCAGAACCCUAAUUUGUGUUUGCAUAGACUCCUUUUUAGUUGGCCCAAGAGGAAGAUCUAUUUGGUGCUCGAUUCGGUCAAGCAUAGGUUUCCUUUUGAUUUGAUUUUGGUCGAUGAUCAAAUGGGUAAGAAUAUGAAUUUGUCAAGGGAGAAUCAUCAUACAGAUGGAGUUCCUCUGCUGCAAUCUGCGGCAUGUUGUAGCAAGGGUAAUAGGAUUAUGUUCCAGAGGCCAAGGCGGAGGAGAGCUUCUGUUGAAUAUGGGAAAUUGUUCAGAAAGGAAUGGGAAUUUCUGGCAUUGGAUCAAAAACAAGACCUCAUUCCAGAUGAUGUUAAUGAAUCAUAUCAUAUGGACUUGGGUCGAAGAACCUGGCAAGGGUUCGAAUCAAGUGGUUUAGUUGGCGAAAAUAGUUGUCUGAAUAAAGGUUCUUCCACUAUUGGACAUGGUACCAAUAAUGAUCAAGAGAGAGACAUUUUUGGAAAUGAAGUCUCUAUUAGAUUGUUGGAGCAGGCUCUUGAAGAAGAGAAAGCUGCUCGGGCGUCUCUCUUUCUGGAACUGGAAGAGGAGAGAGCUGCCGCUGCUACAGCUGCCGAUGAAGCAAUAGCGAUGAUAACACGCUUGCAAAAUGAGAAGGCAUCGGUUGAAAUGGAAGCAAGACAAUAUCAGAGGUUAAUAGAAGAAAAAUUUGCUUAUGAUGAAGAAGAGAUGAAUAUCCUUCGAGAGAUUCUUGUUCAGAGGGAAAUAGAUUAUCAUGUUCUGGAGAAGGAAAUUGAAGCAUAUAGACAGAUGGAUUUUUCAGAAAAGGAAGAGUUAAAAGGAAACUGGGAUUUCAUAGUAGACGAACAUAAAGAACAGUCUUCCACAGCUCGUUACUCAAAUGGAGAUCCACCCGUAGUUCAUCAAAUUGAAAACGCUCUCUCUCUUUCAAGUAAAGCAAAGUCGAACGAAUCUAACAGUUGUAACUCUCAAUGCCACUUUAAUGAAGAAGGGUUGCUUAAGCAAACGAUCUGGACGGAUAAAGACAAUGAACUGAUGGAUAAUAGCUUAUUAUUUGAGCGCACUGCUAUUGAGGAAGCUCUACGUCGUGGUGGUUUUGAGAAAAGCUUUCUUUCUCGUGGGGGGGUGCAAAACAGAUUGGAACACAUAGAUCACACAAUUAAUGAUCUUGGAAGUUCCAUCCUUGAUAUGGAAAUAGACGUUCAAGAUAUCCAUGUGAUUGAUGAAAAACUCCACAUGGAUGACUCAAGAGAAGAGAGAAGUUGAUAAUUAACCAUCUAAAUCAACCAUAGAAGUAAAAUUCUGGGCUGUUUAGUUAUUUGUAGUUUGAUGCAGUGUGCUCCAGAAGAAUUUUGUCUAUAUUGAAAGGUCGUCGUCGCAGUGUCGUCCGGUUAGAAGGGUCAGAACUUCUCCAUCUGUGAAGAAAAGGAUAGAGAAUAAUGGAAUUUCCUGUUGAAAUACCAAACGCCAAGAUAUUUGAUGGUUUGGAGUUCCUUUUAAGGUCAGGAGGGGAAGAUUCAUGAGGAUUGUAAAUGCCGUUCUGUGAA